AAAGAGAGAUUAAUACCGCAUAAUAUAUAUUUAAUGCAUAUUAGAUAUAUUAAACCUACGGGGGUUUAAGAUGGGCAUGCGUGACAUUAGCUAGUUGGUGAGGUAACGGCUCACCAAGGCAACGAUGUCUAGGGGGUCUGAGAGGAUGUCCCCCCACACUGGUACUGAGACACGGACCAGACUCCUACGGGAGGCAGCAGUAGGGAAUAUUGGUCAAUGGGGGCAACCCUGAACCAGCCAUGCCGCGUGCAGGAAUAAGGCCCUAUGGGUCGUAAACUGCUUUUGAACGGGAAGAAAUCUAUUUACGUGUAGAUAGUUGACGGUACCGUUAGAAUAAGGAUCGGCUAACUUCGUGCCAGCAGCCGCGGUAAUACGAAGGAUCCAAGCGUUGUUCGGAUUUACUGGGUUUAAAGGGUGCGUAGGCGGACUUAUAAGUCAGUGGUGAAAGCCUUCAGCUUAACUGAAGAACUGCCAUUGAAACUGUAAGUCUCGAGUUCGGUUGAGGUCAUUGGAAUGUAACAUGUAGCGGUGAAAUGCAUAGAUAUGUUACAGAACACCGAUUGCGAAGGCAGAUGACUAAACCGAAACUGACGCUGAGGCACGAAAGCGUGGGGAUCAAACAGGAUUAGAUACCCUGGUAGUCCACGCCCUAAACGUUGAAUACUCGACCUUAGCGAUAUACAGUUAGGGUCCAAGCGAAAGCGUUAAGUAU
This 712-nucleotide ribosomal RNA is filed under the name uncultured Bacteroidota bacterium. RNAcentral describes it as "bacterial SSU rRNA". It matches the Rfam family "Bacterial small subunit ribosomal RNA", at positions 154 to 867 of the family's 1533-position model. The record is from RNAcentral. Lineage: Bacteria; Pseudomonadati; Bacteroidota.